This 14914-nucleotide long non-coding RNA is filed under the name Marmota monax (woodchuck). Lineage: Eukaryota; Metazoa; Chordata; Mammalia; Rodentia; Sciuridae. The record is from RNAcentral.
AGAAACUACAAUCAACAGAGCCUCCAACCUUCUAUUUCUUGGUGCUCUAUUCUUCAAAGAUGUAGAAGUAAGUGUAUUUCCUCAUCACAUAAAUACUGCUUCAUUUAAAAAAAUAACCCACAAUGAUCUUAGAGCCAUUAUUUAGUCUUUAAUAAAAAUUUAUAAAGAUUUAGCCAUAAUUUUUUCUAACCAUGAGGUAGAAAGGAUAGUAAUAUUUAUCUUGAACCUAAAAGCAACCUUGGAAAAGAAAGCUUAAAUUAGGAUGGGGCAGGUGCAUGGGUAUGUGAAUCAUGUUCAUGAGGCUGUAACAGAGGAAGGUCAAAUCUUCCAUUUACUCUUCUACAUUCUUGGUUCCUUUGAAAUUAGAUAGGCAAAAGACAAAUUUUGACCAAUGAAAUACUAUUUCAUGUAAGGGUACCAUUUCCAGGCUGAGGAGUGAGAAACUCAGGCAAAUUUCUCAAGUUUGUGUCUCUGUGUAGAAUACUGAGGAAGCUCAAUGCUCAGGGUGGUACAGUAACAAGAUGGUAGCUCCAUUGGCCUGGGUCUCUGAGUGACUUCAUGGAACAGAAAGUUCUGUUGACUCUUGUGGGAGACGUAAUGUGAACAAAAAUAAACUUCUGUUGUAUUAAGCUACUAUAUUUUAGGACUAUGAAUAAAGCCAGCUUCCUCUCUGCAAUAUUAUGCUGUUCUCUCAUGCCAUUCCUAAUGGAUAUGUUACUUGAUUCAGAUUAUUUGCCUUUGGAGUUUCUGGUAGCAUGUCGAUUUUAAGUCACUCUGUAUCAUUUGUAUUAUGUAUUGGUUUUAAAUCCUUGACUUUUAUUUUCCUUUUUAUCAGGAUUAAUUGGAAACAAUUUAAGAAAAGGCAUUUUAGCAGGCAUUUCCUAGAUAGAAUUGGCAGGAGUCCCAGAAAUGUCAUUUUAUAAUAUUAUAUAAAUUUCACAAACAUCACUUUAUUCAUCUCUAAAAUGGGAGUGAUACUAAAUUUCAUAUGAGGAUUGAUUUCAUCAAUAAAUAUAUUUUGAGUAACAUUUGGAAAAGUAAUAAUAUAAUUUUUGCUGCCUUCCUAAGCUCAUGGUAUUUAUGUUGGUUUUAAGAAGGCUUCCAUUUGUGUAGGAAGAAUUUAAAAUUUGUGAUAUGCAGAACGCAAAUAGAAAUAAUAAAUAAAAUUUCUGCACAUAUAAAUGUGGGUUUCUAUGUCAAGACAAUAACAGUGUAAGCUUGUAGAACUCAGAUAAACCCAGCUCUCCACUGAUGGAAGGAUGUCACCCCUUCUACCUGUGGCUGUCAGACCCUGUAUAGGGUAACAUCUGCUUCUUUUUGAUCUGAGUUAUGGAAAUAAGAAGAGAAAUGAGAGAGAGAGAGAGAGAGAGAGAGAGAGAGAGAGAGAGAGAGAGAGAGAGAAGCAGAUCUUUCCCUGUGCAGUUUUCUCUCUAUGGAUCUUUUUUUUUUGGCUCUGUUAUUCAAUUAAGUGAGAGAACACAGGGAGUGAUGAGGUAUACUUUCACCCUCCUACUCAAUCUUUGAGACUCUGAAAGGAAGCAAAUAUGCUGGCUGUAGUGUGCCAAUAUGGAGCACAGUCACAUAAAAAUGAACUAUGAUCAGGCAGAAGAAGGCCUGGAGAUCUGUUUUUCUUGGCAGCCUUUGAGCCUGUGGUAUAGACUGACUUCAGGAUACUGAGCAGCAGUUGGAGAGCUUGCUGGAGGGAGUCUCCACAGCAUUUUAAAGAGAUAGGUAUUUUAGAAGAGAUUCACCUUACAUUGGAGGCACAAGCAGAUUCAGGGCAGUUAGCUGGACCAGUAGAAGGUAGUGCAGAACGCCAGGUUAUCACUGAGGUCAGAAAAACAAAAUUACAGUCAUACCAGACUCAAACUUCAGUCUUAAAUAUUAUCAGGGUAAGUAACAGCAUCCAGGUGGAUAAAGGGCAUUGAAUCAAAACCUGAGGCCGAGGACAUGAUACUCAAGACCACUUACUUUUUCCUGUUGCCAGGAGGUUUAUUAGCUCUGCCCACUUGCCCCACAUUGGACAUAUCCAAUGGACACAUUGGACAUACCUCUUGGAAGAAGAGGUAGAAGAACGGAGGAGACCAUUCUUCUUUGAGAGCCAGAAUUUUUAUUUCAGAAAAAAAGAACAUUUUUCAAAUGUUAGGUUGGAUUAAAUUUAAACAUAAUUGGACAUUUAGUUAACUUUUUCCUACUCAGAUAUGGAGGAUUUAAAUUGAAGGAUGAAGUAGUUAGAAACAACAUAAAUAAAUUACAUUUUAUGCAUUCUAGUAUGAGUUAAACUUAUGACCUUGCUAUACAUACAAAAGAACACAGGUGUUCCAUAAAUGACUUUCACAUAAGUUCUUAAUAAAUGUUCAUGUUAACUUAAAACUUGCAGAAUACCUGACAUUUCCUUUUGAAUAUUUAGGAAACAUCAAAUUCAGUAUGUUCAGUAAAGAAUUCUUGAUUACUCACACUUCGUAUUUAUUUCUUCACUGUUUCUUACAUUUAAAAAAAUGGCCUCACCAUUUUGCUAUUUUACUCAGCAUUUAAGUCUUUUCUUUCAUCUCUAUAUUGAAUCCAGCAGGAAAUCUGUUAUAUCUCUUACCAAAUACAUGUUGAGUGUUCUGUUCUCUGCCUCUCCAUUAUUUAAACUUAAUAAAAAACCAAAUGCAUUUCUGCAUUUAGCAUCCUGUCUCCUGGGCAUUCUAAUUUUUCACCAAGAGGCUAAUGUGGUCUUUUAAAAACAUAAAAUAAAUCUUUUCAAUCUCCUGCUUAAAAUGCUUUUGAUGACUUUCUAUUGUUCUUAAAAACCUAAAUCCAUUACUUUCCUGAACCACGCCCUGUGUGGUUUGAUCUCUGAUUGUCUAACUCCAUCUCCCACCACUUUCUUCCUCUCCUGACAGCUGCAGGCAACAGGCCCUCUUCAUAUUUAUCAGUUAUGCCAGGACUUUUGCAUGUGUUCUGUCUGGAAUUCUCUUUCUCCAGAUCUCGGCUCCUUUACAGCCUUCAGAGAUCAACUCAGACAUCAGAAAGGCUUUCCUGACUAUUUUUCUUAUUCUUUAUCAUAUGCUUACCUCCAUGAUAACAUUUAUCACAAUCUAUGACUUUUGAUUUUUUUAAAAAUUGUUACCUGUUGUUUAUAAGGUUUCCCUGGUGGACUGUAAGCUCCCUGGGAGCAGGAAUCUUGUCUAUUCACUCUUGUAUUCCCACUACCUAAAAUCUUUACAGUUACAUAGAAAAGGUCAAUAAAUAUUUGCUGAAAGAAAAGAGGAAGAGAAAAAACAAAACAGAAGAAAGGAAGGGAAGAGGUAAGGACAGAGUGAAAGUCGUCAAGUCUAAACCAUUAAUAAGGUUCAUUAUAAGGAAUGAGACGUAUCUUAACCAUUUUUUCUACAUGUCAAGAAUGAACUACUUAUUAUUCAUAAUGAGAUUAGCAUUAAUUUACUUUUUAUAAUCAUUAUGUUUCUGAACCAAUUGGCACAAGGAAUUUAUAAAACUUUGUCAAACAUUGUUUUACUAAAUUUGAAACACAACUGCAGCAUAUAGUAGUGCUAUUAGUCAAGUUUUUCUAGCUUUCUGCCUUCAGAUAAGAUAAGAUUAUGUUUUGGGUUAUAUCUUUUUUCAUUAUGUGGGGCCAUGUGGAUAAGUUCUAGCUAACAUAUUCUGAUGAAAUUGGUGUAUGUUUCUUUCAAGCUGGAAUCUAUGUUUGCUGGUACAAAACCUUCCAAAGUGUCUUUGUUCAGAUAAAGUUAUCAUCAUGUUCCUUUUUUCCAUUAUAUAUACAUAUUGACAUAUAAAUAUAAAUAUAAAUAUGUAUACUAAUACACAUAUGUAUACUAAUACAUAUAUAAACACUUAAGAAUUUUCCCCAAUUAUUUAUUAAAUAGUGCUGAAUGUAUGUAUUGUUUGUUUCAUUUUAUAAAAUCAUUGCUUCAACAUGUCUUGGAAAUUUUUAUCAACUCUUUUUUUUUAUCAACUCUUCCGCAUCCAUUUGUCCCACAAUUUGCUGUGUAUUAGACACUCUUCCGUGUGCUUGGGAUAUAUCAGUGAGGAAAACAGAAAAUUUACCCCUAAACUUUCAUUUCAUAUCAUAAAUACAAUUAUACAGUGUUUUUGGAGAUAAUAAAUGUCAUGGAAAAGAGAAAAAGUAGAGCAGGGUAAGGGAGAAUCAAAAUCUGGGAUUGGAAGAAGACCUCCAAUGGAGAGUUCAAUACAAGAAGUCCUUGACAUAUAAUGCUUUGACUUUCAGAUUCCUUCCUUCCUUCCUUCCUUCCUUCCUUCCUUCCUUCCUUCCUUCCUUCCUUCCUUCCUUCCUUUUUCUUUUCUUUUUGAGAAAAAGGAGAAAGUGGUGUUAUUUCUUUGAUAGCAGAUGAAAAUACACAGUGGACACCAGACUUUUGAGGCAGUGAUUCUGCCUGCUUGUGGGAACAGUGUGGUUUGAAAGAGGGAAUACCAAGGCUAUACUCCAGCUGUGCCUUAUCAGUAGUCAUAAUUCAUUUGUGGCCUUGAGAGAGAGAGUCAUUUCUCAGAGUUGCUGGUACCAGUUCCAAUGUCUGGAUUCCUUCAUUUCUGUGGCCCAGGAACUGAAGGACAAAUAACUCAUCCCGUUGUCAUUUCUCUCUUCCUGAUCUUUUGUCAAAAGGGAUGAAGAGGUGAUUCUGAUCUUGGUUAAGACCUGUUUUUUCAUAACUAUGACAUACCCAGCUAUCUGCUUGCUGGUCAUUGUCCAUGAACUUGCUCCCAUAAGUAAAAAGUCUCAGUCCAGUUUCAUGUUGGAUCAGAGAAGUCCAACCUGUUUUCGAGUAUACCUCUAGCAGAGCAGGUUCAUCUUUCUUUCCUGAUUGUCAAGUGAAAGGGUUUCAGACAUUCAGUCAAUGGUUGGCCAAAUUCCAUAGUUCUGGGCCCAAUGUGAGGCAGAACAUCAUGGCAGAAAGGCAUGCUGGAGGAAAGCAGCACAGGACGUGACAACCAGGAAACAGAGAUGCAGAUUUUUCAAUUUUAUUAUGAUGGAGCAAUAGUGACAUGCACUCAGUAGAAGCCAUACUUAGAAUUUUGAAUUUUGGGCUUUCCCCAGGCUAGCUGUAGGCCAUAUGAGUCUCUCUUGUCAUAUUGGGCGGGGGCAGCUAGCCUUUGUGCCUGGUCAGCCACACAAUCACAAUAGUUAGCAACUGACACUCUGUAAGUGCUUUGGGUUGCUAAUCUAUGAUGUGCGGUAGGUUAGAUCUAUGGAAAUAUAGUCAGUGCAUUUUCAAAUUGGGAUAUUUCCAAUUUACUAUGGGUUCACAAGGAUGUCAAUCUUGAAGAAAGUGUAAAAAUAGUCCAGCAGACACUUGAGGGGAGAGCCCUCUGAGCUGAAGUGGACUUGCUAGAGCAGUGAUUCUCAAUGUUUUGGUCUCUGGAAACUUUUACACUCUUAAAAUUUGUUAAAGAACCCAGAGUUGGUUUUAAAACCUUACAGAUCUUCUUAAGAGUCCUGGGCCACCUUUGACAAUCUGUGAGCUGGAGCAAAGGCUCUGAGGGCAGCACAUGCUUAGUCAUUUGUAGGAACAUUAAGGGCAAUAAUACAACUGGCGGGUGAUUCAGGGAGGAGAAAUAGGAAGGAAGUCAGAAAGGUAACCAUGUCCCAUUAUGUGAGACCUUGAGAGAAAUUGGAAGCCAUAUAUGAGCUUUGAGCAGAGAAGUCUCAUUUUCUGGCUUAAGUUUUCAAGAAGACACAGUACUAGAAACUAGACUAAAGGGAGCUGGAAACACAAACAGGGAGAACCGUAAAAGGUUAUACAAAAACUGAGGGGAAGGACUCCGCACCUCAGUGUUAACCCUAAAUAUAUCAGUAGACUAAUACAGAGUCUGUUAGUAUUAAAGUAAUGCCAUUUCCCUCUGACUGAUUCCCAUUCAAUAUAGUUUCCUGUCUUUCUUUUCCUCAUUGCUUUACACAAAGACACUAUUAUGUCUUCAUUUAAUUUUAGUUUUCUUGUUAAAAAGCAAUAUAGAAAAAUAUUAUUUUCAUAGAUCCCAUUUAGUCAACAUUUUCCAAUUCUCUAUUUUAGUCUCCUUUUUAAUAGAAAUUUUAAAAAUAUAACAAUUUGAAGGGCAACCAAAAAUCUUUUUGCUAACGUUUUUGUUAAGAGUUUUUCAUUUAACCAUUUUGACUCCACAUUUUUUUUUGUUGUUAUUUUUGUUCUUUUUACCAGAUAAAUUUUCUACCAAAGGAAUGUCUUGCGUUUUAAUAUGGAUCUAUCUUUAACUUCAAUACCAAGAUAGCUUUUUUUUUUCUGAAUACAUUUUUUUGGUACACAAAUUCAUUAUAAAAUAAAAAUAGAUGUUGCCUUUCUUUUGGUAUUUGAAAAAUCAAAUAAGUACAUCAAAUGCUAUGAUUUAAUUAGAAUACAAUCACUCCCUUUCUCUGCAUGUUUAACAAUCCCUCCUGGCAUCAGAUCUAUUUGAAAUCUCAAUGUUAUUUUGAGAUAAAAUGUUUUGUGCAAUAUCAUCCUUUAUGUCUGUUUCAUCCAAUAGGUUAUAAAUUCCUAGAGAGUAGAUUUCAUGAAUCUUCCUUUAACCACACCCAUUUCCUUGUCCCUCAUUGACUGAUGGGUAUAUGAUUAAUUUAGGCAUUUCUCAUGUUAUUUCUCAUUCAUUUCUGGUUUCUCUGCUGAAGCACCUAAAGAAAUCUUACUAAAUAUACUAAAAAUGUAAAACCUAUUAUUAUUUUUUUUAAUUUAAGUGGAAAAUUUUGUGAGUCAGAGUGGAAUUAGGAGUUAUUAUUAUUAUUAUUUAGAAUUAGGAAUUGUUAAUCUCAAAAAGGAAUUUUUGGUCUAUUUGGUAUCCAUGUAGUUUACCAUCCUCUCAAAAAGAGAUUAAAUAUUUCAGUGUACUCAUUAGCUUGAAUCAAAGGUUAUCUGAAGCUUUUUCUCUCAUGAAGAGAGGAAAUGAAAAGGGACACAUUGAUUUAUUGAAGAUGAUUAACAAUUGUACAAUUAAAUUUAUAACUAUAAAAACCUAUUCUUGUUUCUAAGUGGUUUAAAUUAACUCUCAUAUAUGAAGAAUGAAGUUAAUGAAUCAAUGUAUCAUGUCUAUAUGAUAUCACUACUUUUAAUCAUAUCUUUUUGAUGUCCCCACUUUUAUUUGAUGUUUGAUUUUAUAAUCUUUGUCCCCCCUCAAUAUUCCAUUUCUCCAUUUUGUAAGCUAAGAAGAAAGUAUUGAGAUACUUGUAUUUUUGGUAUCAUACUUCUCCUGAGUCUAUGUAGAGCAAUUGGUACCCAUAUAAUUUAUUGUCUAAAUUGGACAGAUUUGAGGGUUUUAAGAUGCACUAUAAAAUAUCACAGUAGAGCAGUGGAUUUAAGUUCUAACUGUCCCUGGUAAGCCAGAAUGUCUGGCCACUCUAUAGACAGGUGUGAUGGGAACACAUUUUUUUUUUUUUAAUCUCAUAGUUAAAGGGGAAGGAAUUUCCAGGAUAGAAAGCAAGGAACACUUUCAUCUGCUAUUUACCUCUUCUCUGAUUCUUUCUCAGUGGAGAGGAAGUGACUUUGCUGAUCAAUGAAUCUGAGAGAAGAAACUGAGCAUAAUCUCCAAGUUUGGCACUGCCAAAGCAGCCAAUGCGAUGCUCGAUACUUCUGAAAAGAAAGCCUUCCCCAGAUGCUUGUUGUAAAAGUUUCUGAUAUUGUAUAUAAAACAGCUUUUGUUGACUUCAGAAUUCUAAUUUUAUAUGUCCAUAUGGACUUUUAGAAAAUUAAAUUUAAAUAUAUCCUUUCCCUCACCACAUUCUCCUUUACUGUAUAUCUUGGAAUAAUCUUGGAAUAAAAUGUUCUUUUUAAAAGAGAGCUUUCUUCUCAUUUUUACAUAUAAAAGAAUGCCUUAGUAGUUCUUGAGAAUCUUCUGUUUACUUGUUAAUAAGUAAUCAGAUUUAAAUUGAACUCAUGACUUUUGGAAUGCAUUAGCAAUGCAUUUAUUAGAAAAUAAAUCAAGUUCCACCUUAUUUAUUUUGUUUAUUCUUUACCUAUGUUUAUUAUCAAUAUAAAAUUUAAAAAUACAACCCAACUUGUAGAUCCUAAAUUGGGAAAUAUUUUUUUUUAAUAAUUCUUUUGAUGACUUUCCUACAAAAGAGUACAGCUUUGAGUAUAUGUUAUUUUUGAACACCUUCCUAUUAUUACAAUUUUCAUUAUAAGGCAGAAACAAAAGACACUAAAGGCAAAACCAAAUAUUAACAAAUAUCUAUUUUCAAUUGCUUGAAAAAAAUAAGAUAGCUUAAUAAAUAACUGAAAGAUAUAGCACCGUUCUAAAUAAGAUAUACCUUUUAGAUUAUGAAACAUAUGCAAUUGUAUAUCACUGCAUUAUUCGGGGUUACCUUACAUCUGACCUUGUUGGUAUUUCCAGACUGAAAGACACUCAGCUCCAUGUACCUGGUUAUUUACUGUGACUAAAUCUGGUGUUGCUCUAUUCUGUUAGUCCUUCAGGAGUAAAUUCAAUUGAGCACCUGAAGUUGAGAGGCCUGUCCCAUUCUGGCCUCCAUUCUUUGGAAGUAUUCCUCCCUUUUCUCUAGCUAAAGGAUCUCCAGAGAGAGGGAUGGAGAGGCUACAGAGCUGCUCUUGAGUGUGAGGAAGAAUGCGGCCUUUCCUGGAUGGACUUACACUAACUCCCUUUCCUGUUGUAACACUGCUUCGUUGGAGGUCCUCUUUCUACAUCUGCUCACCUUGGCUAAAUUGCCUGUCUUGGUCCUCAUCUCCACACUUCACCUUUCUUAAAUGCCCUUUAUCUUUAGAUUCACUGUACUGUUCUUCAUUUUUUUUUGUACCAUUGAAUAUUUUCCCUUCUUCUUCAACAAAAUGUAGGUAAUUACUCAAAAUCCUAUCUAUUGGUCUCACCUUUUCUCUGCAGGUAUUUUCCUUUGUGCCAACCAUUACCUCAACCCAAAACUCCAUGCUUUAGAAAAAUUCCUGAAGGCCUACUCCUCAUGUCCAGUUGAAGAUACAUCCACUUCAGAAAUCCAUAUCUGUUACCACUUGUACAUGCACUUUGUCUCUCUUUUUCUACCUCUUUCCUCUUGUUAUCCCCUCCUUCUAGAGUACCUUUGAAACGUCAACCUGUUGUGAUUUCUGCUUAUGUAUCAAGCCUUAGGUUCCACCUCUGGUGAAGCUAGUCUAGAUAUUAACUACAUCUGAUAUCUUCAUGAUUUGAACUCAUUCAGCAUCUUAGGGAACUGAUUUUCCUCCACAGAACAUGUAGGUUAUUUCUACGAUUGUCUUAUCCUUGGACUGCAUCUUGUAGUUGCCUACCACUAUACCACAUUUUUAUGCUAAGAAAAUGAAGCUUGUUUUCCCUGCCUAACCAAGCUGAUUAUUCUCACAAACUACCAGCCACCUGAUGUGAAUAAACACAGUAGCAAAUUGCAUUUUAUAGUGUGACACUGUUGUUUUUGCAAAGAAGUGUAUGCCAAGUGUGGUUAUGCACAUAUAUUUCCUGACUUACCAUCUAGGAUAAAUGAUUCUCAUAUGUAGCAAUACUACCAAUUCCAGUUUUCACAGACCUAAAUUUUUGCCCUGGGAACAUCUCCAAGAUUUACCUAAAGGAGUAUUAAAGGAAGGGAGAGAGAAGUUUCUCAUUUAAUUAGCAACUUUGCCUCCCUUACACCCACUGGAUUUACUUUAUGCCCUAUGAUCUUAGUUCCCCAAGCAAUUUUGUCCCAGCCCUUUCUGUGUGACUGCCAACCUACUCCAGCCCAUUGAAUACUGAUCCCCUUUUAUAUCCCCAGGUAGCUGGGAAGCUUGAGAUUUUUCUUAGUUCCAUGGGGGAAUUGUUGGCUCUCUUUUAUCCAGAAUAUUCAUGCUCUUGAAAGGAGUAGUCAGGGUGGGUUAGGAGAUGAUCAAGCUCAGUUUCUCACUGUAUCUGUACCUGUUCCUUCUGAUCUUUGGACACUGGAACUCAACCUACCUAUUCUUUGAGUGUACUGCAUACCGUUUGUAUUAUCUUCCACUACUCUCAGAAGCCUAAAUUUCGUGUAACAGGUCCUAUAAAUUUGGAAGCCUAUCCACAGGCCAGAUUCAGUUUUUCUCUUAUCAUUCUGGCUCCAUGCAGAUCAGAAGAUGCAUCUGUACUUCUGAUGAUGUUAAGGGGCUGCUCCUCUGGGAGCUCAUAGAAAGCCUGGGUGUCUGGACUGAUGAACAUUACAUUUUAACCCAGUAUAGAUGCUGCUAUAACUUAGGAGAAUGUGGAUUUGUAGGAAGAGAAGUGCCUGUAAGGGUGCCCAGAAAAAUAUCUUUUGAGUAAUGAGAAUAUCAUUAAUCCUGAUUUUGUCCUUUUAUGUUCUCUAUUUAAUGCAACGAUUAUAUAAUUUACCAACUAGUUUUUGAAAAGAGAAAAAUCAUCAUUCAUCCCAUUCUUCCAGGUAUCCUAAACACAAAUCCCUUGCCUCCCUGUUCCUACCUCAUGCAUGCGCAUGUAUCCAAUGUGCAUAUACAUUCCCACCUUCCCUCCACAUAAUAGACUGAAUUUCUUAGAGGUAAUGGUUUUGUGUUCAUCUUUAGCAUUAGACAUGGUGUCAUCAACACAGUGUCAUCAACUCUCAAUGUUCACCAAGUCAAAUCCAUGUGUUAAGAUCUCUAAGAAUCUUGGCUAUGAAUGAGAAAUUGUGGAUCUCUUUUUUAUCAGUGGACUCUUACUGGGAAUUUAAAAUAUUUUGUCUUAGACAUAAUCAUUUCUGUUUAUAGUUGUAAUCACUUCUCAUUUUCCAUGAUGGAGGUGGGGUCUCCUAAGCAGGAUCUCAGACAAGCCCCUCUUAAUCUCCAGACUCCUUUCCCUAAGUGUUUAGGAGAUGUGGGAACCACGUAGAUCAAUGCAGGCAGUGCUGCUUGGGAAUGGCAAGGGUGGAGAAGGAAGAAGUACAGCUAUUGUGGUCUCCCAAAGUGUAUCUUGAUACACAUUUUGAAUCUUCUCUUUCAUUUUUCCGUCUUUAAUCAUGUUGGUGACUAGAAACAUAUAUGACUUUUAUAGGUAAUUGUCUAUCUAUCUCUCUGUUAGGCUUGCCUAUUAUUUCAAAUUAUUUGUUGAUACUUUGAUUUUCUGUGUAACUAGAUCUGAGUUUACUAUAUAAGUGGUAAUGCUGUUCACCGUGGCACAGUGGCAGCACACCCUUAAUCCCGGCAAUUUGGGAGGCUGAGGAAGGAGGAUAACCAGUUCAAGGCCAGCCUCAGCAAUUUAGCAAAACUCUGUCUCAAAAAAAAAAAAAGGUAAUAAAACUAAUAAUGUUUCAAAUCACUGGGGGAAAUGCUAAGAUCUAUGAUUGGUGGUUCCUAUGGUAAGAAUAUAUUUAGUUUCAAUGAGAAACUGCCAAACUGUCUUACAAAGUGGUUGUCCCAUUCAGCAAUGAAUUAGUUUUCUGUUGCUCAAUAUCUUUGUCAGCAUUUGGAGUUGGAAUUGUUUUAAAAUUUGGUCAUUCUAAUAGGUUCAUAGUGGUAUUUCAUUGUUUUUUUUUUUUUUAGCUUGCAAUUCCCUAAUGGCCUGUGAUGUUGAACAUCUUUUCAUCUGCUUAUGUAUCAUUAGUACAUUCUCUGGUGAGAUGUCUAUUCAAGUAUUCUGCACAUUUUAAAAUCUUAUUCUUUGUUUUCUUGUUGAAUUUUACAUUUUUGAUAACAACUCUUUGUUGGAUGUGCCUUUUGUAAAUGUCUUUUCCCAGUCUGUGGCUUGUCUUGUCAUAUUUUUAAGGAGCAGACAUUUUUAAUUUUAAUGAAGACCAGUUUAUCAACUGUUUCUUCCAUGGAUCAUCCCUUUGGUGUUAUGUCAGAGAAGUCAUUGCCAUGCCAAAUGUAAUUUAGAUUUUUUUUUUCUAUUUUAACUUAUAGUAUGUAGUUUUAUAAUUUUGUGUUUUACAAUCUAUAAUGUUUUGAGAUGUGUAGAAUUAUGUUGGUUUACCAUGGCAUACCUUUACCUACCUGAGUCACUGCCUGAAACGUAUCGAAUAAUCAAUAAAUUCAAAUGUUAUAAGUGUGUAUAUGUGUUAUAAAUUGGAUUACUUAGAUCAGUUUUAUACUUUGAAUUGCAAAAAUGGCUAUAAAAGGAAUAAAAUCUCAGUAAAUAUCAAAUAUCAUAUGGAAAGAAUUCAUUAUAUUGAAAGAGUCAUGAAAUUCAUAAUUCAUAAUUUUAUUACUGAAGUAGAUGUUUGUUAUAAAAGGCAUAAUGGGGACCAAGAUAGUACUAAAAUAAUGUUUAAUAAGUUCUCCAUGAACUAGUGACAAAGAUAGAUUGUGUAUAUUUAUAUAUUCAAAUAUGAAAAAUUAAAAAUAAAAAAUAUAACAGAAGGAAAAAACAUGAUUAAAAUCUAGAAAGGAAAAUUAAAAGUAGAUUUUAUUAAAGUACAUACAUUAAACUUUUAGCUACUUGUCUAUGAAAAGUUCAACGUGAUCUGACAUUUAACAAAACUUUCUUUCCAACGUGUCACAGUAUAUUAGGCAUCUAUGCCAAACAUGUGCAGUCAUGACAAAAGGGAAGUAAUGAAUAAUAUUCAUGGAGAGUAGGCACUGUUACAUUCAUUCCCCUGAAUAACAAAGAAAAAGAUUAAUGUUUACUCUUCUUUUUCAGGGAGUCACAUUCAGGUCCCAUAUUUAGAGAAGAAUGCAGGCUCUGAAGACAUUUCUAGUGAGAGAUUCAUUUGAUGCCAUCAUACAAAUUCCACACAAAGUCACUGUCUCAAUAAAAUCCAACCAAUUUAAGAGUAAAUUAUCAUUUACAUUUGUUGAUUUAAAAAAUCAAUAUAUGGCUGGGAAGAGUGGCAAAUACCUGUAAUCCCAGUGGCUUGGGAGGCUGAGGCAGGAGGAUCACAAGUUCAAAGCCAGCCUCAUCAACUUAGCGAGGCCCUAAGCAACUUGGAAGGACCCUGUCUCAAAAUUAAAAAUAAAAAGUACUGGGGAUAUGGCUUAGUAGUAAAGACCCUCUGGGUUCAAUCUCUAGUAACUAACUAAUUAAAUAAAAUAAAAAGUCAACAUACAGAGAGCCUUGAAUUUCUUUACAAACUUGGGGUGCUAGGUUUUGUAAUUUUGGCUGGUGUCUUUUCCUACAUUUAAUACAUUAAAUAAUGACAGUAGGAACUACAUACACGGGAAGUAAUAUUUGACUCUUUCGCUAGAGACACUGAUUUUAAUUAUUUCAGAAAAAAUUCUGGGUUCCUGUAUUUAAAAACUGUAUAGUACAUUAUAAAAUAACUUGGAAACAUAACCUCAACCAUAUGCUUUUCAGGUGAGAUCCUACUGACAGGAAUGUGUCAAUUCUGAGAUAGUCCUUGUAUUCUGGGAAGGUUCUUUGGCAGUUUUUGUCCCAACUGACUUGUUAGAGGGGACUACAGAGCCAAGUUUCAUUUGGAAUUUAACUGCUGAAAAUAGUCCAGUUUCUUCAUGGAAAAACAAUGGAGUUAAAGAACUGACAGAUUUUUAGACUUAUUUGUGUGUUCCAGAGAAGAUGCUGGCACCAAAAUCCAUAAUCAACAACAAAUAAUUAGCAUCACUGUUUUCUGUUUUGCCUACGCUGGUUCUAAGGAUAAUUGCUCUCUGUUUUAAAAACAAUUAAAAAAAACCCUUUGAGGCCAGUUCAUUUCAAAUUGCAUAAAAGAUAUUCUUUACUUACUGCUUAGAACAGUUUGUUAUUUCUUUCUCUUUCAUUUAAAAUCUGCUAAAAUGCAAUAGUUGUUAAUUUUCAACUGGGCAUGUCUCUGGAGUUACUUUUCCAGUAAUUCAUAAGAAAGUUAUGUCAAACCAUCCAACUUCCUUAGUUGAGGGUUUGUAGGAAGUUUUUAUUCACUGGAUCUUUCCCCUUCACAUUUCAAGGAAAAAAAAUGUUUCCUUUUUCUUCCGUUAUUCAGAUGAAAGUAUAAAUGCAGCCUACAUAUCACUGAACCUCAUCUUUUAAAAUAUUCAAUUUAUUGUGUACCAUUUGACUCCAUCCUGUAUAAUUUUCUUCUUCUCAUUUUUAAGGGACUGCUGUAAUGCUGAGAAGUACGAGCCAUGUGUAACCUGGGGGUGACCCGCUCAGGGGUGCUGCUGCUUUUCAUCACAGUCACUCAAUCAGCCCUCAAACCAGCAAUGCCUCCCGUGAUCAAAGACCAGCCUUUCAACAUUUUCUGGGCAGCUUCGACAGUUUAUUGUAAGGAUUUCUUCAAGGUGAAUCUGAACCUUCAAUCAUUUAACAUUAUAUCAAAUCCUUUAGAGACUCACAGUGGAUCAACAAUUGCCAUAUUCUAUCCAAAUGAAUUGGGAUAUUAUCCUUUUUUCUCCCAAGAUGGAAAAUCCUUUAAUGGAGGAAUACCGAAGAAUAUGAGCCUUUCUAAACACGUUAAGAAAACGGCUGAAGAUAUUGCCAAAGCUGUCUCUUGGUGGCAGUCGGAAGGACUUGUUAUUAUUGACUGGGAAGGUUGGAAGCCCCAGUGGGAGAGGAACUGGGCCAGCAGAAUAAUAUAUAAAAAGCACUCCUUAGCCUUCAUGAGACAGCAUCACCCUGAGUGGCCAGAAGCCAAAGUGAAAACAGUCGCCCAACAGGAAUUCGAAAAGGCUGGAAGGAGUUUUAUGAAUGUCACUCUCACAUUGGCUUUAGAAAUGAGACCAAAACAUUUAUGGGGCUUUUAUCUCUAUCCAGAUUGCUACAAUUAUGAUUACAGGAUAAACCCAGAGUUCUAUACAGGUAAUUGCCCAAAUGAUGAGAUUUUCCGCAAUGACCAGCUCCUUUGGCUGUGGAACAAAAGCACAGCACUUUUUCCUUCAAUAUAUUUGGAUAAAAUACUAAAGUCAAGUUUAAAUGCAUUGAAAUUUGUUCAUUAUCGAAUUAGAGAAGCUAUGAGAAUUGCUGAAAUGGCUAGACAAGAUUAUGCUUUGCCAGUUUUUAUUUUUUCCAGACCAUUUUAUUUGAAAAGUAUUGAAGUUCUGUCAGAGGUAAGAAAAGGUACAUUUAUUCACAU